Molecule: long non-coding RNA, 1232 nt
Organism: Microcebus murinus (gray mouse lemur)
Lineage: Eukaryota; Metazoa; Chordata; Mammalia; Primates; Cheirogaleidae
Source: RefSeq, a predicted model, not a curated record
CAAGAAGGGGCUGACCCACUCCUAAGGCUAGUGGGUGGGCACCCUUUUACUAGUCCUCUUGGAAAUGAAAGUUCCCUUUGCUGGAGAGUUUGCAGCUGAGAUGAUAUGAUAUUGACUUAGAGCUGUGGUUGGCUCUAAGUCAUCUCAUCUUGUCACCAUAAGGAAUGAGUUGGCUGGAGAAUAGAGCCAGCCCAGAGUAAAGUGAAGCUGACAGAUGAAGAGAAAAAUAUGUUUUGUGAUAUUGUUGAGCAUCUUAAUCAGCAUGCCCAAGCCAAUCAUGUCAAGGAAGACCAAGAGAACUCUGAAAGAAGAAAACGGAUUUUUUGAUGAGGAUUGGGAAUUGCAAUAUUAUCUUGUUUCUGCUAAAGACUGAUAACUUGGAGCUCCGGCUGGAUGCAUUCCAUUUUUCAGCAACGGGAAGCAUCAAGAGAAUCUUGUUUCCCACAUAACUUAGUGGAACAGGAGAACUGGGUCACCCAAGAGCUUCAGCGAGGCUCUUGGGAGGGCUCCGGAAAUAAGCAGGAGCAUUUACACUACUGAGAACAAGUGGUUUUGAUCAAAACACUCAGCAAGUAAAGCAGGACACUGGGUGGAACAGAAGAGGUGGUAGGAAAGACUACCUGACUUAUUAAAGACUGUCUGUGUAAAAUAACGAUACAUUCUCCUUCUGGUGAAUCUGAGCAUUUCUUGCCGUGUUCUGGCACCAAGAUGUUGAAUCACAUGUCUCACGUAGAAUUGUAGGUUUUUGCAGAGUUUGAUUGGAUCUCAAGCAUAACCUUAAUCAAUUUCUUUAGAACUGGGGAGAGUAGGAUCCAGAGAGGUUCAAGGACUUAUCUGAAGUCACACAGCUAGUUGGUGGCAGUGCUGGGAACAGAACCUGUUUCCUAUUCCCAGUGUGUGCACUUCCCUCUCCCACACAUCUGCUUCCUCUACUCCUUUAAGCGUCUUGUUCCUUUAGGCCACAGCUCAAGUGUUCUGGUGGGUAUUCUCAGCACAAUCUCUAGAUUGCUGUUUUUGACACUUACGUGUUUGGCUUCCUUCUUGUCCGCUAAUUUUUUUUUUUUAAACCACGCUUUUGUAAAAUCAUUAGGUUCUGUGGUAGAGUAGGGCACUGAUGUUUGAGAAUUUGUUGCAUUUGCACAGUUUCUAGAUGGCAAGUGAUACAUAGCUGUAUGCUGCUGAAUUAAGGUGUGUUUAAAGAAUCAUGCAGCUGCAAGGAGCUGUGUGGAGCA